This 303-nucleotide ribosomal RNA is filed under the name uncultured bacterium. RNAcentral's name for it is "partial 16S ribosomal RNA". It matches the Rfam family "Bacterial small subunit ribosomal RNA", at positions 507 to 807 of the family's 1533-position model. The record is from RNAcentral.
AGCAGUCGCCGCGGUAAUACGAAGGGUGCAAGCGUUACUCGGAAUUACUGGGCGUAAAGCGUGCGUAGGUGGUGGUUUAAGUCCGUUGUGAAAGCCCUGGGCUCAACCUGGGAAUUGCAGUGGAUACUGGGUCACUAGAGUGUGGUAGAGGAUAGUGGAAUUUCCGGUGUAGCGGUGAAAUGCGUAGAGAUCUGGAGGAAUACCGAUGGCGAAGGCAGCCAUCUGGCCUAAUACUGACGCUGAGGUACGAAAGCAUGGGGAGCAAACAGGAUUAGAUACCCGUGUAGUCCCUGUCUCUUAUAC